This 21-nucleotide microRNA is filed under the name Simian foamy virus. Its description in RNAcentral is "sfv-miR-S2-5p". Its record names the gene sfv-miR-S2-5p. Lineage: Riboviria; Pararnavirae; Artverviricota; Revtraviricetes; Ortervirales; Retroviridae. The record is from miRBase by way of RNAcentral.
UAGGAGCCACUAGUUGAGCCU